RNAcentral lists this ribosomal RNA (253 nucleotides) under uncultured bacterium. RNAcentral describes it as "partial 16S ribosomal RNA". It matches the Rfam family "Bacterial small subunit ribosomal RNA", at positions 524 to 776 of the family's 1533-position model. The record is from RNAcentral.
UACGUAGGUGGCAAGCGUUGUCCGGAUUUACUGGGCGUAAAGAGCGCGCAGGCGGUCGAUUAAGUCGGAUGUGAAAUCCCCUGGCUCAACUGGGAGGCGUCAUUCGAUACUGCUCGACUUGAAGGCAGGAGAGGGAAGCGGAAUUCCCGGUGUAGUGGUGAAAUGCGUAGAUAUCGGGAGGAACACCAGUGGCGAAGGCGGCUCACUGGCCCGGUACUGACGCUGAGGUGCGAAAGCGUGGGGAGCAAACAGG